This 2940-nucleotide long non-coding RNA is filed under the name Trifolium pratense (red clover). RNAcentral's name for it is "long non-coding RNA (TPRA_LNC011604)". Lineage: Eukaryota; Viridiplantae; Streptophyta; Magnoliopsida; Fabales; Fabaceae. The record is from RNAcentral.
UGUUUCCCGAUUCAAUUAUGUAUACUCUUGUCGAUAUUCUAGAUAAAUCGAUAUGGGGCGUUAUAAUUGGUAUCAGAGCAGGUCGAUUCAGUAUCGGACCUUGCCACGGAUCAUUAAAGUUCAAUAAAAGUAGUACGGACCCUUUGGAGUCUGGACUGUUUACGCUGAAAUCAUCGCGUGCUGAGCCCGAUCAACUCAGUAUCGUGUAUGGUAGGCAGGGUAUUACGGUUGAGAACCGAAGUGGACCAAGGAGGUCGGGUAGUAAGAACAAGUAGAAGUUCAAACUCAGGUGGAAGUAUGAACGGGGAUCGUUAGAAGUGGAUAUUGUAACUGCAUCAGUCGAUGCCACAAGAGUAAGUUGAGUAACGCCAACAAGUGGCGCGCAGGGAAUAAUAUAUGGCAUAAUACCAGUAGUAAAGAGGAAUAACGGGAAAUGCACGAACCGGACGAGUGCAACUGAAGGUAGCUUUUGUAAGGAUCUAAAGGAUUUUGGGAAUGGAAAACCUAAUAUCAAGGUAAGUUUUGACGGAGUUGAUUCAAGACGGAGUGCAAAAGUAAGAUAUUCCGAUAGCCGCAGUAGGUCUGAAUUGUGCAAUGAGGCAGAUGAAGUGUAAUUGAAGCGUGUAGUACUCAAGUAGUAUCCAACUGAUGCGUAUGCGUCAUGUCGACUUCUCCGAACCUAGAAGCAAACUCCUCUCACUUGUGAAACUUUUCAUCAGGAACAUGUAGAAUCAAGCAAGACCUAAUGCUAGUCAGUAAACCAAAACUUUUCCCAAAUCUGUCUAACCUUCAUAACAGCCUAGUAGUCCAUCCCAGAGAAUUCGAAGUUAGACCAUAAAGAUUCCAUUAUUUCGUUAAUGUUCGUUAUUUGUAUAACUUUCUUAGAACAAUACCACCAGUUGUCCUUAAUUAAAUAACUUCAGCCUCUCAGCUCACAAUCAAUCAUCAUAUAUGACCAUUAUAAGUCAAGCAAUGUUUAGAUUAACAAUUAUGAAUUGCUUUUAGUAUCGUCAAGUCAUCGGAGUCGAUCCGUUAAGCAUCCUCAUUGAGUGGCUCAUGAACAAGUAAUUCAGUUCGGUACUGAAUUCAACAAGUUAUCAGGAUUUCAUGUAGUCAAUAACCCAACAAGUUCAAUUAAGCCUCUGGUGAGGGUUUGUCAGCUAAAUCAUAUAAAAGUCAGGUCAUACCUGGUAGGACAAUCAGAAUUCUUUAUUAAACGAUACUAGUCAUCCAGAUAGGCCUAUUAAGUGUCAUCAUUCGAUCACCCUUAAGCUAGUAACUCAGUGUCGUAGAUCGAUUAGAUACUUAAUAAGGGAAGCCAAGUUAGACAACCUACAUUUUAUUAUUCAUCAAUGUCAGCCUGAUAUAUUGUCGCUUAGGAUGUCACCACUAGAUGCCGAUGAAGUAGAGUCCGCUUAUCAGUUUAUAACAGUAAUCACACCAAACCUUUUGUGUGAAGCCUUGAUUAGAUUAACAGUUAGAAAUCACUUCCAAUGUCAUCAGUCGCCUAAUUUGAUUUAUUAAACGUCAAUAUUAAGUUGUUUAGAAACCAGUAACUCAGUUUGGCUUUAGCCCAGCUAGUCACCAAAUAACCUUAGGUGCUUGAGACUCGCAGCCACUAGACAUCAGUGUCAGUUAUGCAUUCUAGUGAGAGUUUUGUCAUCCCAAUUCAGAGUGAGAACCAAGCUUUCUAGUUCGAUGGAACUGCCAGUAGACAAUAGUAACUAGUGAGUAUUAAGGUCCGGUGAUAAUCAAGCCGAGAUAGAAAAAAAUCCUAACCUUAAACAAAGAGUAGCAUGAAAACUAAGUGUGCAAUAUCAACUAGAAUUAUAUGACGUGUAAGACCUGAGAGUGCAAGUUACCAUUCAAUCCAGUUAAUUUUCCUUAGGAGAUUUUAUACACUAGUUUCUAAUCGUAUCAGAUACAUCCGUGCCUAAGGGAAUUAAGGAAUAAUAAUAAUAAGAUCGGUGGCCAAGGCAAAGUCUAUUAGGUACCACUCUUAGUAACCAGUUGGAUAAGUGUAAUCUGGGAAAGUUAGUCCAUGAACAUGAGUGCCUAGAAGGAAUUAUCAAAUAUUCUAGUAGCCUAUUUGUUGACAUCAGCCAGUAACUCAGAGUUAGACAAAUCCAAUAGUCUCACCACUAGCAUUAGAGGACUGUAUCAUUUGUGACUCAACCAUACAAUAAGUAAUCAAGCUAAUUUAGUAAAUUCCUCAUUAGAAGCUUAUUAACAUUACCGACAGAUAUUUCCGUCUUAACUUAAGUAAUUCUGACAAAUGUCUUCGACUCUCCGAUUUCAUUACCACCGGCUUGUCCGAAUCAAUACAAGCUAAACCUUUUCGCUACAUAUCAAAUUGUCUUCCUUCUGGACAUCAGUUAUCUUAGUGGAUCUGUUAGUAACUCUAUUCAGUUACAGUUUUAGAAGAAUCACAAAUUUUAGACGCUUAACUUUCAAGCAGUGACCAGUCUAUCUUAACAAGUUCUGUGGAAAAACCUUACCAGUGAGCCUAUCAUAAGAACCAAUCCUUAUCCUUAAGAUAAUUAUAGGUGGCGUGCGGCUGUAAGAUCAAAUUCACAAGAGCAUUCUGACAGUUGUUAGAGGUGAGAGAAGUAAGAGGUAGUAAGCGAAAGAGCAGUUCGAAGGAAAUAGAUAGGAGAAAACGCCGGAUAAGAUGAAACAAAAUAUGACAAUGUCCGGAAAUUAGUAAACGAAAGUCGUAAUGGCGCAUUCGGAAAAUGUUAGUAAGUAGUUGAAUCAGAGUGCGCAGCCGAGAAGUGGUUGAGAAUGUAGUCGGCAUAUUGAUUUGUAGGUCAACAACUCUUUGAGAGAGGAAAUUUUAUUCCAAGGAAUUGAGAGUGGAGGACCGUAAAAUGAAUAAAUAUCGUAUGACGAGUAAGCUAUGCAUACUUCCGCAUUUAAAACUUGAAUUGUUGGUAACGG